Molecule: transfer RNA, 72 nt
Filed under: Camelus bactrianus (Bactrian camel)
Lineage: Eukaryota; Metazoa; Chordata; Mammalia; Artiodactyla; Camelidae
Also listed under: 2 other names
Rfam family: tRNA
About the family: Transfer RNA (tRNA) molecules are approximately 80 nucleotides in length. Their secondary structure includes four short double-helical elements and three loops (D, anti-codon, and T loops).
Source: Rfam by way of RNAcentral
GAAGGUAUAGCUCAGUGGUAGAGUGUGUGUGUGGCAUGCACAAGGUCCUGGGUUCAAUCCCCAGGACCUCCA